GUCUGGCUGGCUCAGUCAGUAGAGCAUGUGACUCUUGAUCUUGGGGUUGUGGGUUUGAGCCCCACAUUGGGUA
This 73-nucleotide transfer RNA is filed under the name Felis catus (domestic cat). It matches the Rfam family "tRNA". From Rfam's summary of the family: Transfer RNA (tRNA) molecules are approximately 80 nucleotides in length. Their secondary structure includes four short double-helical elements and three loops (D, anti-codon, and T loops). Lineage: Eukaryota; Metazoa; Chordata; Mammalia; Carnivora; Felidae. The record is from Rfam by way of RNAcentral.